Molecule: unclassified non-coding RNA, 2926 nt
Filed under: Leishmania donovani
Lineage: Eukaryota; Euglenozoa; Kinetoplastea; Trypanosomatida; Trypanosomatidae
Description: gene:LdHU3.36.8390(CDS-product:disgorgin_putative )
Source: RNAcentral
CAGAGCAGCCAGCCUGGAGGACGUGAGGAGGACAAAGUACGGCGCAGCAGUCCUCGCACGCGCCUUUGACGCGCUUGCUGUGCCUCUCCAUCUGCUGCUUUCAUUUGUAGUAUUGUUUUGUUGGUUCUCGCUCGUUUUCUUCCCUUGGUUUCUCAGCACGAGGGACGGUACUCCCCGCUGAAGACACGGCAGGGGGUGCCCACAUCGUGCGUACGACGCGAUUUCUUCAACACUCCGGUUGCUUGGGCGCCAAACAUCCCUGCGCACACGCACGCAAGUCGGCGUGCCCAAGGCAAAAGGAGGGAGGGAGGGAGGCUCUCUGCUCCUCUUCUUGUUGCGACAGUGCUAUCGUCCUUUCCUUCUCGGCCACUUCACUUUCCUCGUGCCAGCGAGUGGAGGGCACACGUGAUCAAGAAUAAGAAUCGUGAAAAAAAAAGAAAACAGCGCAGAGCACACACCACACUCCUGCAUCACGCGCACAGAAAAAGUGGCGCGCGUGCACAAUCUCAAACCCCGGUACUACCAACGAGAAACACGAACGGCUGUGCUUGCGCGUCUUUCUACUUCCUCUUCCAGCCGAGCAUCCUCUGUUUUGUUGCAAAACACCACUCUUUCUUCGAUCAAUUUCAAGCGGGAUUAACCGCCGGGCUUAGGAUGGACGAGGAAAGCGUGUUCAUGGGCGGUGACGACGCCGAGGCGAUGCCGCAUGAUUUGGGCGAGAGGGCCCCCCUCCACGUAUAUGCUGUUCAUGCAGAUCACAAUCCACGUACUGUAAAGCCAGCCGCUGCCGCCGGACGGCAAACCGUUCUCGCGCCGUCCGUCAGUGGUAGCGCAUUAGCAAUGCCCCUCGCUGCAAACCGCAACACGGCAGACAGUCUCGCGAAGGCGCAAGGAUAUUACCCGUCACAGACGCCGCCCAGGAGUGGCACGACGGCGAUGAAGUCGUAUGAUGAGUUUGGUGGCACUGAACAGGUGGUUCAGGUGGUUUCCUCUCCUUUACUACUUGUGGCUCCGACUGAGGAGAUGCAGCUGGGCCGCGGCAGCUCGCCCUUUAACGCCCCGCAGGCAGCUCGUUUCCCAGCGGCUUGCACGGUUGCAGUGCCACCAAGCGUCGCAUCGCGACCGAGACCUCUGAUGCGUGCGAAGGCCCACGACGCGGGGAACGCAGAGCUCCCUCAGCCGCUAAGCAGGAGUCAGCUGCGGGCGGCACCGACGGGCGGCAGCGACUCGGACACGGAGGAGGAGGGUCAUGACAGUAGACUUGUGACGCCAGACGCUGAUGGAAGGAACCCGCGCCCCGGCAACGAGAGCGCCGUCGAGGCAGAAGAGAAUGACGCUGAACAGCAGUUGGUAGACGAGUUCGGCUUCGUGAUUGACGAGGACGCCAAGGAGAGGGACGGUAAGUACAUUCGCGGCAUUGAUGGGAGGCAAGUGGUUCGGCGGGAGAUCAAGUGGGCCAACAUGGCGGCCGACUGGAACAAGACGAACACGAAGAUGCACGCCAAGCUGAAGGAGAGGUGCCGCAAGGGCAUCCCGAGUCGCUUCCGCGGCGUCGCGUGGCAGCUGCUCAUGGGCUCCUUUCAUCAACUGAACUCGGAGGAGAACAACGGCGUCUAUGUGGCGCUGCGGGACAAGAAGCUCGCGGACAAGGAGACAGACGCCAUCAUCUCGCGCGACCUCGCUCGAACAUUCCCCACCCACGUUCUCUUCCAGGACCCAGAUGGUGUUGGGCAGACCUUCCUGCGCAACGUCCUGCACGCCUACGCCGGGUGUGAUCCGGAGGUGGGCUACGUGCAAGGCAUGGGCUUCCUCGUCGCGGCGCUGUCCACGCAAAUGGCGGAGGAGGAGUCCUUUUGGGCCCUGCAUGAAAUGAUGUACAAUGAGCGGUACAAGAUGCGGGAGUUGUUCCGCCCUGGCUUCCCGUUGCUACAGCAGUUCUUCUAUCAGCUGAAGCGUCUCAUUGCGCGACUGCUACCGCGGCUGUCGAAGCGGCUCGACGAGCUUGAGAUUCAGCCUUCUUUCUUUGCCUCGCAAUGGUUUCUGACGCUGUUCGUCGGUCACUUUCCCUUUCGGGCGCUGCUGCGUGUGUGGGACAUCUUUUUCUCGGAGGGCUGGAAGAUCAUAUUUCGCACCGGUAUCGCGCUCUUGAAAUGGGAGGAAUCUCACCUCUUGACGCUGCCGUUCGAGGACACGCUGUUGGCACUCAAAGGUCUGCAGGAUGGAAAAGACGCAUACGAGCUUCUUCGGCGAGCGCACCGUGUAAAGUUCAAGACAGCGGAGCUGAAUCGAUAUGGCGACGAGUACUGGGAAAUGGUGGGUUUGAUUCAUCGAGACUGACCUGAUACGUGCAGUGAUGAGCGCUGGUGCGCUUCGCUUGUAUUUGGUGCGCGUGUGUGUAGUACCCCCAUCGCUGUCUCUGCUUCUCUUUUCCUGUUCUCCUCUUCCUUUGGAUGCGGACUUGCGCUCAGAAGCUGCUGCGCGCGUCGGAACCGUUUCCUAAGCUCUGUGCUCCCUUGUUUGCGUGCACGCUUCUCGACGGAUCUCUCUCUCUCUCUGUGGCUCACAUCCUCGCAUGAUUCCUCCAAGUGCUUCUAUGCGUGACCGCGCGUUCUCCCUCGUUCUCGUCGUUGCCAUCUGUCCCCUCUCCGGGAGAGUUCGAGCCCGUUGAAGUACGUGGUGUUGUAGGGCGUUGCGUUGUCGGUUGAUGGUGUGCUGAGCAGCAUCUUUAUUGUAUGAUGGCACGCCGUCAUCUCCUCCCUGACGAGCAGGUUGCGAACUAAAGAGAAGCGAGGAAAAAAAGGCACAAGACUUCUUUUCUGUUUUUCUUUUGAACUGACCACGCGACGCUGGACGCCAAACAAGCAGACAAGAGCACAGGUGCAGCGGAUAGCAAGAUCGCUUCCAUUGCACGUCCCCCGGCGUAAAG